CCUACGGGAGGCAGCAGUGGGGAAUAUUGCACAAUGGGCGCAAGCCUGAUGCAGCCAUGCCGCGUGUGUGAAGAAGGCCUUAGGGUUGUAAAGCACUUUCAGCGAGGAGGAAGGCAUCAUACUUAAUACGUGUGGUGAUUGACGUUACUCGCAGAAGAAGCACCGGCUAACUCCGUGCCAGCAGCCGCGGUAAUACGGAGGGUGCAAGCGUUAAUCGGAAUUACUGGGCGUAAAGCGCACGCAGGCGGUUGGUUAAGUCAGAAGUGCAAGCCCCGCGCUUAACGUUGGAACUGCGUUUGAAGCUGGCAAGCUAGAGUCGUGUAGAGGGGGGUAGAAUUCCAGGUGUGGCGGAGAAAUGCGUAGAGAUCUGGACGAAUACCGGUGGCGAAGGCGGCCCCCUGGACAAAGACUGACGCUCAGCUCCGAAAGCGUGGGGAGCAAACAGGAUUAGAAACCCUUGUAGUC
Molecule: ribosomal RNA, 465 nt
Filed under: uncultured Rahnella sp.
Lineage: Bacteria; Pseudomonadati; Pseudomonadota; Gammaproteobacteria; Enterobacterales; Yersiniaceae
Description: bacterial SSU rRNA
Rfam family: Bacterial small subunit ribosomal RNA
Source: RNAcentral